CCCCUUUUCAAUAUGUCCUCUUAGAAAGUUAUAAUUAUAUUUAAGUUCCAAAUAAAUCUGAUUAGCAUUACAUUGGGUAAUUUCUUUGUAAAAACCUCUCUUUUUAUUUUUUCCUAAAAGAUGUCCCUAGUUUUUAUUUUUCUCAAAUGAUGCUCUUAUUUUUUGCAAUCCUAAAAGUAUCCCUUAACCUUCGUCGCUUAUCACAUGAUAGAGGAGGUCAUCGAGGAGGUAGGUCAAUAAUGAAAAAGGUCCCGAUCUUAGGGAGGUUAAGGAGAUUGUCAAGAAUAGGAAGGAGACGAAUACAAUGACAUUGGGAGCAAAGGCUAAAGACUGUUUUGGGAGCGAGUGAGAAAGGUCAGGCAACAAGUCCAUACGACGAGUGGAGGUGACAGAUCAAAGGUGAUGAGCGAUCAGGGGUGAACGGUAUUUUUUAGAUUAAAAAAAUUGAGACAUCAUUUAAGGAAAAAAAAAAAUAAAGAAACAUUCUAGGAAAAAUAAAAUAAAUUCAGGGAAAUCACCCUAUUACAUUCUUCCCUAGAAGAAAAGAGCUUAGUUCUCUAAAACUUCACCUACCUUAUUCAUAGGUUGCUCUUGAUAUGAUAAAUCUUUUUCUAAAUCCUUUUCCAAUUGAAUUGGUUCAAAUUCGAUUAUUAGAUCUUCAAUAUACUUCCUCAACAUUCAUAAAUGAAAAACAUCGUAAGCUUCAUUUUUUUUAAAAAUCUCAAAUUAUUUAAUACAAAUAUAGCUCAG
RNAcentral lists this long non-coding RNA (750 nucleotides) under Musa acuminata (dwarf banana). RNAcentral describes it as "long non-coding RNA (MACU_LNC003273)". The record is from RNAcentral. Lineage: Eukaryota; Viridiplantae; Streptophyta; Magnoliopsida; Zingiberales; Musaceae.